RNAcentral lists this ribosomal RNA (550 nucleotides) under uncultured bacterium. Its description in RNAcentral is "bacterial SSU rRNA". It matches the Rfam family "Bacterial small subunit ribosomal RNA", at positions 121 to 706 of the family's 1533-position model. The record is from RNAcentral.
GGAAUCUACCUAGUGGUGGGGGAUAACUUCGGGAAACCGGAGCUAAUACCCCAUAAGCCCUUCGGGGGAAAGUUUUUCGCCAUUAGAUGAGCCCGCGUUAGAUUAGCUAGUUGGUAGGGUAAUGGCCUACCAAGGCGACGAUCUAUAGCUGGUCUGAGAGGAUGAUCAGCCACACUGGGACUGAGACACGGCCCAGACUCCUACGGGAGGCAGCAGUGGGGAAUAUUGCACAAUGGGCGCAAGCCUGAUGCAGCCAUGCCGCGUGUGUGAUGAAGGCCUUAGGGUUGUAAAACACUUUCAUCGGUGAAGAUAAUGACGGUAGCCGAAGAAGAAGCCCCGGCUAACUCCGUGCCAGCAGCCGCGGUAAUACGGAGGGGGCAAGCGUUGUUCGGAAUUACUGGGCGUAAAGCGCACGUAGGCGGACUGGUCAGUUGGGGGUGAAAUCCCGAGGCUUAACCUCGGAACUGCCUUCAAUACUGCCAGUCUUGAGAUCGGAAGAGGUGAGUGGAAUUCCUAGUGUAGAGGUGAAAUUCGUAGAUAUUAGGAAGAA